UACUUUUGGAAAAUUUCAGUAUGUGCAUGU
RNAcentral lists this non-coding RNA (30 nucleotides) under Rattus norvegicus (Norway rat). Lineage: Eukaryota; Metazoa; Chordata; Mammalia; Rodentia; Muridae. The record is from RNAcentral.